CAGAUUGGGAAACUCAUCAAAUUUUAUAGAAAAACCGAGACAAGCCACUGGGUCGAUGGCGGGCCCCACGCCGCAAGGCGUUGCCUCUUCAGGCACAGGCGGAUUACAAAGAUCCAGGCGGCACUCAAAUCCUGUCAUUCGGAGUUUCAUCACAUUCCUUUGGUGUGGACCU
Molecule: small RNA, 172 nt
Filed under: human gut metagenome
Description: Bacteroidales-1 6S-Bacteroidales RNA suggested
Rfam family: Bacteroidales-1 6S-Bacteroidales RNA suggested
Source: RNAcentral